Molecule: unclassified non-coding RNA, 189 nt
Filed under: soil metagenome
Description: partial internal transcribed spacer 1
Source: RNAcentral
CACAAUAAAAUAUGAAGGCUGUACGCGGCUGUGCUCUCGGGCCAGUUUUGCGGAGGCCGAAUUAUUUAUUACCCUUGUCUUUUGCGCACUUGUUGUUUCCUGGGCGGGUUCGCCCGCCACCAGGACCACAUCAUAAACCUUUUUUAUGCAGUUGCAAUCAGCGUCAGUAUAACAAAUGUAAAUCAUUUA